CAGUAGCCGCGGAAUACGGAGGAUCCAAGCGUUAUCCGGAAUCAUUGGGUUUAAAGGGUCCGUAGGCGGUCUUGUAAGUCAGUGGUGAAAGCCCAUCGCUCAACGGUGGAACGGCCAUUGAUACUGCAGGACUUGAAUUAUUGGGAAGUAACUAGAAUAUGUAGUGUAGCGGUGAAAUGCUUAGAGAUUACAUGGAAUACCAAUUGCGAAGGCAGGUUACUACCAAUUGAUUGACGCUGAUGGACGAAAGCGUGGGUAGCGAACAGGAUUAGAUACCCGUGUAGUCCCUGUCUCUUAUACC
RNAcentral lists this ribosomal RNA (301 nucleotides) under uncultured bacterium. RNAcentral's name for it is "partial 16S ribosomal RNA". It matches the Rfam family "Bacterial small subunit ribosomal RNA", at positions 509 to 808 of the family's 1533-position model. The record is from RNAcentral.